Molecule: ribosomal RNA, 601 nt
Filed under: Micrococcus antarcticus
Lineage: Bacteria; Bacillati; Actinomycetota; Actinomycetes; Micrococcales; Micrococcaceae
Description: bacterial SSU rRNA
Rfam family: Bacterial small subunit ribosomal RNA
Source: RNAcentral
UGGCGAACGGGUGAGUAACACGUGAGUAACCUGCCCUUGACUCUAGGAUAAGCCCGGGAAACUGGGUCUAAUACUGGAUAGGAACGUCUACCGCAUGGUGGAUGUUGGAAAGAAUUUCGGUCAUGGAUGGACUCGCGGCCUAUCAGCUUGUUGGUGAGGUAAUGGCUCACCAAGGCGACGACGGGUAGCCGGCCUGAGAGGGUGACCGGCCACACUGGGACUGAGACACGGCCCAGACUCCUACGGGAGGCAGCAGUGGGGAAUAUUGCACAAUGGGCGAAAGCCUGAUGCAGCGACGCCGCGUGAGGGAUGACGGCCUUCGGGUUGUAAACCUCUUUCAGUAGGGAAGAAGCGAAAGUGACGGUACCUGCAGAAGAAGCACCGGCUAACUACGUGCCAGCAGCCGCGGUAAUACGUAGGGUGCGAGCGUUAUCCGGAAUUAUUGGGCGUAAAGAGCUCGUAGGCGGUUUGUCGCGUCUGUCGUGAAAGUCCGGGGCUUAACCCCGGAUCUGCGGUGGGUACGGGCAGACUAGAGUGCAGUAGGGGAGACUGGAAUUCCUGGUGUAGCGGUGGAAUGCGCAGAUAUCAGGAGGAACACCGA